UACGGAGGGUGCGAGCGUUGUCCGGAAUCACUGGGCGUAAAGAGCUCGUAGGCGGCCUGUUGCGUCCGCUGUGAAAGCCCGGGGCUUAACCCCGGGUCUGCAGUGGAUACGGGCAGGCUAGAGGUAGGUAGGGGAGAAUGGAAUUCCCGGUGUAGCGGUGAAAUGCGCAGAUAUCGGGAGGAACACCGGUGGCGAAGGCGGUUCUCUGGGCCUUACCUGACGCUGAGGAGCGAAAGCGUGGGGAGCGAACAGG
RNAcentral lists this ribosomal RNA (253 nucleotides) under uncultured bacterium. Its description in RNAcentral is "partial 16S ribosomal RNA". It matches the Rfam family "Bacterial small subunit ribosomal RNA", at positions 524 to 776 of the family's 1533-position model. The record is from RNAcentral.